AGUUUUAUUGGACAGAGGCAGUAGAUAUCUACUGGAAACAGUAGAGAGGGAGGAGAUGAUAUGCAGCAUACGGCCCAGCCGGAUGGUUGCUGCUCCGUGUGGAACGUGUUCUAUCAGGUGUAACAUCUACCAAUGGUUGUACAUGACAGAGACCUCCUCCACCUCUUUGCUGUCUUACUAGUCAAUCCUUCUGAUCAGGUCCUUUCCUAAAUAGUGAAAGGAUCAUGCCAGCCCACAUCAAACACCUGAUCAAGAACUUGUGAAUCUCACUGCUGCGGACACCUGUGUGAUAUUCCACUCUGACUGGAACCCUCAAAAUGACCUGCAGGCUCAAGCUCGGUGUCAUCGUUUUGGCCAGUCUAAGGCGGUGAAGGUGUACCGUCUGAUCACUAGAAACUAUGAGAGGGAAAUGCUGGAUAAAGCUAGUCUGAAGCUCGGGCUGGACCGUGCCGUACUGCAGAGCAUGAGUGGCAACAACAACGGGCCGGUCCAGCAGUUCUCCAAGAAGGAGAUCGAGGACCUGCUGAGGAAAGGAGCCUACGCCGCCAUCAUGGACGAGAACGACGAAGGCAAUCGCUUCUGCUAGGAGGACAUCGACCAGAUCCUGCAGCGAAGAGCCACCAUCAUCACCAUCACCAGUUUGCUUCAAGCAGUGGCUGUACGAGAAAGACGUGGAAGACCAAGAAAUGCUGGCCAGAUUGGCAAAGACCGGAAGAUACAUAACAGAG
Molecule: long non-coding RNA, 728 nt
Organism: Gymnodraco acuticeps
Lineage: Eukaryota; Metazoa; Chordata; Actinopteri; Perciformes; Bathydraconidae
Exons: 6
Source: RefSeq, a predicted model, not a curated record